Molecule: ribosomal RNA, 440 nt
Filed under: uncultured bacterium
Lineage: Bacteria
Description: partial 16S ribosomal RNA
Rfam family: Bacterial small subunit ribosomal RNA
Source: RNAcentral
CCUACGGGAGGCAGCAGUGGGGGAUAUUGCACAAUGGGGGCAACCCUGAUGCAGCGACGCCGCGUGUGGGAAGACGGCCCUCUGGAUUGUAAACCACUGUCCCCAGGGACGAAGAUGACGGUACCGGGGGUGGAAGCACCGGCAAACGAGGGGCGAGCAGCCGCGGUAAUUCGUAGGGGGCGGGCGUUGUCAGGAUUUACUGGGGGUAAAGGGAGCGUAGGGGGGGAAUGAGGUUGGGUGGAAAAACUACAGGCUAAACUGGGAGUCGCACUCGAAACUUCAGGGCUUGAGUGUAGGUGAGGCAGGCGGAAUGUCUAGUGUAGCGGUGAAAUGCUUAGAGAUUAGGAGGAACACCGGUGGCGAAGGCGGCCUGCUGGACUAUUACUGACGUUGAGGCCCGAAAGCGUGGGGAGCAAACAGGAUUAGAUACCCCAGUAGUC